Long non-coding RNA from Cyprinus carpio carpio, 1407 nucleotides. Lineage: Eukaryota; Metazoa; Chordata; Actinopteri; Cypriniformes; Cyprinidae. The record is from Ensembl.
CUGGUUUUCUCCAUGCCCCUGAAUUAUUGAAUUGUAUGCAUGCCAAACAGUUUGUCAAAGCUCUCUAAAUUGUGUAGCCCCCACACUUUUACAACAUAGCAGUAUAUAAGUUGUUAGUAAGAUGCAAAGAUGCAAAAAUAAAUAAAUAAAUAAAUAGAGAAAGAGAGAGCGAGGGAGUGAAGGGAGAAUAUAGCCGACCUAAUGACUAGUAAGUACAUCCUGACGUCUUACUGACCUUCCUAUGCUGGGACAGAGCUGUCACUGAGAUGUGUCUAUGAGUCUGUAUGUCUGGACUCAGCCUUUGGCUGCCAGCUGAAAAUGCAUAUUUUGGCCUUAAAGCAUAUGCUAAUUUAUGGCAAUCAGUGGUGAAUUUAUCUGACUGCUCUUUAGAUCCCGAGAAAGGGUGAUACGGAGAGAGAACAAGGAAAUGAAAGUCCAGGGAAUGGGAAGAGGGAGAGAUAGAGGGAGGAAAAAGAAGCCAUUCUCAACAGUAUGUGUGCAGAGAUGUGCACACUUCCCAAGGAAAAGCACCACUAUGUCACAUUUAAACCUUUCUCCACUGUGUUGCAGAGCAAGAACGGGGAGACACAAUGCCACAAACACCACACAGAGGCACAUAACCCCCAUGGAGCAGCAAGUUGAGCCUGAGCAGAGGGGCCAGAUGAAGAAGCAGAAUCAGUUUCUGGACCAGUCUGUCCUGCUCUGGGGUGGUACUGGGGGCAACGGGGUCUUGGACAAUCAUCUGUCCUGCAGGCCUGUUGUGACCUUCUCUACAGUUAGGACACAGAGCAGCGGAUUUCUCCAUAGCGUCUGUCAGCGCUGGCACAUGACAUGCCAGCCUGCAGCGUGCCAAUGGCCUCUCCCUUACAAAGCUUUGUGCACAUGAAACACGCUCUCACCCACACAACUACUCUCUUAGGCAUUGAUUACAUCUUUCCUCAGACUUCCUGUGGUGUUGGGCCUUCAAUUAUAUGUCAUGAAAAUGAACAGAUCACAAUGGAGAAGUAAAUAAUUCUACUUUGGAAUUAUUAUUAAGUGGAAUUCUAAAGUAUAAUAGCUAGAUUUUAUAUGCAUCUAUGUUAUCAGUGGUGCUCUACAGAGGAUUAUACAAAGAGAUCAAAAUUAAACUGGUGUAAGUUUGACUGAAUAAAAGACACUCUCGCUGAUGGUCUCAAAACUGGAAUGAGGCCUGUCAAUAGCUUCUGGUGUUCUCGUUCUGGACUGCUUUCUUUGAUCUUGUUCAAUUAUCAUGACAACAGCCUCAAUAUCCAGCACAAGUCCUGAACUUUGAUCAAACUUUCAUUGUAUACUUUAAAGAUUCAUACAGCAAGAAAGCAUUCUCCACCUGUCUUUGCAUGCAUGUCUGUGUGCAUAUAAGUGUCUAUCUUUAAAUGUUUAGACAGAGAG